GCCGGCGUAGCCCAAUUGGCAGGAGGCACUAGGUUUAGGUCCUAGCCAGUGCGGGUUCGAAUCCCGCCGCCGGCA
RNAcentral lists this transfer RNA (75 nucleotides) under Pseudonocardia sp. RNAcentral describes it as "tRNA-Leu". It matches the Rfam family "tRNA". From Rfam's summary of the family: Transfer RNA (tRNA) molecules are approximately 80 nucleotides in length. Their secondary structure includes four short double-helical elements and three loops (D, anti-codon, and T loops). Further hydrogen bonds mediate the characteristic L-shaped molecular structure. tRNAs have two regions of fundamental functional importance: the anti-codon, which is responsible for specific mRNA codon recognition, and the 3' end, to which the tRNAs corresponding amino acid is attached (by aminoacyl-tRNA synthetases). tRNAs cope with the degeneracy of the genetic code in two manners: having more than one tRNA (with a specific anti-codon) for a particular amino acid; and 'wobble' base-pairing, i.e. permitting non-standard base-pairing at the 3rd anti-codon position. Lineage: Bacteria; Bacillati; Actinomycetota; Actinomycetes; Pseudonocardiales; Pseudonocardiaceae. The record is from RNAcentral.